AGAAUGCAGGUUUUUCCCCAAAAAUCCAAUUUUCUCACUUUCACUCCCCAAAUUGGUUUACAGAUGUGAAAUAACUUGUUGUAUGCACUCAGAACCUAUUUCUAACAUCAGAACAACAAUUCCUACACUCAAAACCCAAUAAUUCACCAUAAACCUAAAAUUCCCAAUUAUAACAUAAACCUGUUAAAAUCAAAAUCAGAAUUAA
Molecule: long non-coding RNA, 205 nt
Filed under: Medicago truncatula (barrel medic)
Lineage: Eukaryota; Viridiplantae; Streptophyta; Magnoliopsida; Fabales; Fabaceae
Description: long non-coding RNA (MTRU_LNC007289)
Source: RNAcentral